GACGAACGCUGGCGGCGUGCUUAACACAUGCAAGUCGAACGGAAAGGCCUGCUUUCCCUUGUGGAUUGCGGGUACUCGAGUGGCGAACGGGUGAGUAACACGUGAGUGAUCUGCCCCCAACUUGGGUAUAAGCCUGGGAAACUGGGUCUAAUUCCCGAUAGGACUGCAGGGUGGUGCCUGUGGUGGAAAACGAUUUUCUAGUGGUUGGGGAUGAGCUCGCGGCCUAUCAGCUUGUUGGUGGGGUAAUGGCCUACCAAGGCGGCGACGGGUAGCCGGCCUGAGAGGGUGGACGGGCACAUUGGGACUGAGAUACGGCCCAGACUCCUACGGGAGGCAGCAGUGGGGAAUAGUGCACGAUGGGCGGAAGCCUGAUGCAGCGACGCCGCGUGGGGGAUGACGGCCUUCGGGUUGUAAACUCCUUUCGACCGCGAGGAAGCCACCUGGUUGGAAGGGUGGUGACGGUAGUGGUAGAAGAAGCACCGGCUAACUACGUG
RNAcentral lists this ribosomal RNA (494 nucleotides) under uncultured bacterium. Its description in RNAcentral is "partial 16S ribosomal RNA". It matches the Rfam family "Bacterial small subunit ribosomal RNA", at positions 28 to 507 of the family's 1533-position model. The record is from RNAcentral.